Molecule: non-coding RNA, 258 nt
Organism: Pelobates cultripes (western spadefoot toad)
Lineage: Eukaryota; Metazoa; Chordata; Amphibia; Anura; Pelobatidae
Source: the annotation of a GenBank genome assembly
GCUCAGUAAACACAGCCUUUGCAAAGAAAAGGCAGUGUUUAGAUUGCUGGCUAGUUACACCUGUAGUAGCAGUCACAUAGAUGGCCACUAGAGUCUAAACACACUGCAUGGAAGCGCUAAACGUUCCCCAUAGAAGUGCAUUGAAUCAGUGCAUCUCUAUGAGGAGAUGCUAAUUUGCACUUUUCUUAUGGAAAAGCAUUGGAUUGGCUGAGAUGAUCAUCAAGAUUGAUUAUCUCAGCCAUGGAGGUGGGGCCAGGG